Molecule: long non-coding RNA, 578 nt
Filed under: Phoenix dactylifera (date palm)
Lineage: Eukaryota; Viridiplantae; Streptophyta; Magnoliopsida; Arecales; Arecaceae
Description: long non-coding RNA (PDAC_LNC006187)
Source: RNAcentral
UGCCACAUCAGCAUAGACAAGAUACAUCAUCGUUGACGAGUCGUGACAUCCUUCCACGUCAUCGUCUGUCAAGCUAUUAAGAUUGCCCUAUUAGCUAUUUUGCCACAUCAUCGCAAUGUGAAAGCCACGUCAACCACUAAUAAGACACAAAUGUCUACAUCAUCAAAUAUGUCAAUUGGCCACAUCAGUUUGCCACAUCAUCAAACACGUCAACUAGCCAUGUUGCCAUACAUGUCAAUCUAUCCACAUCAAUUAGCCAUGUCAGUGACACGUUAGUUUGUCACAUUAGUCAGUCAGUAUUGCCAAACAUAUUAGUUUGUUACAUCAGCUUCCUGAUAUAUCACAUCAAUUUUUGAGCUUCUAUGUCAGCUUCUGUAUGCCAUAUCAGAUUCUAUACUAUUAUAUCAGCUUGAUAGAUCAGUCUACCAUAUCGGCUUCUGAGGUGCUUAAUCAACAUUUAAUCUGCCACAUCAGUUUUUGAGUUGCUAUAUUAGCUUCUAAUUUUCUAUGUCUGAUACUGUCACAUCAGCUUGACGCAUCAAUUUGCUAUAUCAGUUUUCUAGCUGCUACAUUAGCUU